AGAUUGAACGCUGGCGGCAUGCUUUACACAUGCAAGUCGAACGGCAGCACGGGGGCAACCCUGGUGGCGAGUGGCGAACGGGUGAGUAAUGCAUCGGAACGUAUCUUUAAGUGGGGGAUAACGCAUCGAAAGAUGCGCUAAUACCGCAUAAUCUCUGAGGAGAAAAGCAGGGGAUCGCAAGACCUUGCGCUUUUGGAGCGGCCGAUGUCUGAUUAGCUAGUUGGUGGGGUAAAGGCUUACCAAGGCUUCGAUCAGUAGCUGGUCUGAGAGGACGACCAGCCACACUGGGACUGAGACACGGCCCAGACUCCUACGGGAGCAGCAGGUGGGAUUUGGACAAGUGGGGAACCUGAUCCAAGCCAUGCCGCGUGAGUGAAGAAGGCCUUCGGUUGUAAGACUCUUUCGACG
Molecule: ribosomal RNA, 408 nt
Filed under: uncultured soil bacterium
Lineage: Bacteria
Description: bacterial SSU rRNA
Rfam family: Bacterial small subunit ribosomal RNA
Source: RNAcentral